Molecule: unclassified non-coding RNA, 278 nt
Filed under: Hevea brasiliensis (rubber tree)
Lineage: Eukaryota; Viridiplantae; Streptophyta; Magnoliopsida; Malpighiales; Euphorbiaceae
Source: RNAcentral
UCCACUAUUCUUCAGUCCAACUAGAAAGACCCAUUCUCCACCGAAAUUGAUGGAGUUAUAAAUUUCCCAGCAAGAACAUUAAUAUGCACAUAACCAAGUUCAAUGGCAUUGAACUAUGCAUUUAUCUAACAAAAAACUGAAAAAAGAAAAUGAUGCAUCAACAUCAGAAAAGUUAUCUUCUUGUUUAGCCACUACUCUGCCGCCCUGCAGGCGGUGCAGCCUGUGUUGUAACUCUUAGCGUCCCUCCAAGUUCAACAGGAAUGAGUGGGACCAGAGAG